UCUCCAUAAAGUCCUGCCUUGGAAAGGAAAGC
This 32-nucleotide non-coding RNA is filed under the name Rattus norvegicus (Norway rat). Lineage: Eukaryota; Metazoa; Chordata; Mammalia; Rodentia; Muridae. The record is from RNAcentral.